This 254-nucleotide ribosomal RNA is filed under the name uncultured bacterium. RNAcentral describes it as "partial 16S ribosomal RNA". It matches the Rfam family "Bacterial small subunit ribosomal RNA", at positions 524 to 776 of the family's 1533-position model. The record is from RNAcentral.
UACGUAGGGGCCUAGCGUUGUCCGGAUUUAUUGGGCGUAAAGAGCUCGUAGGCGGCUCGGUUAGUCGGAUGUGAAAUCUCCACGCUCAACGUGGAGGCGCCAUCCGAUACUGCCGUGGCUUGAGUCCGGUAGGGGAGUGUGGAAUUCCCGGUGUAGCGGUGAAAUGCGCAGAUAUCGGGAGGAACACCCGUAGCGAAGGCGGCACUCUGGGCCGGUACUGACGCUGAGGAGCGAAAGCGUGGGGAGCAAACAGG